This 301-nucleotide ribosomal RNA is filed under the name uncultured bacterium. RNAcentral describes it as "partial 16S ribosomal RNA". It matches the Rfam family "Bacterial small subunit ribosomal RNA", at positions 509 to 808 of the family's 1533-position model. The record is from RNAcentral.
CAGCAGCGCGGGAAUACGAAGGGGGCUAGCGUUGCUCGGAAUGACUGGGCGUAAAGGGCGCGUAGGCGGCGAUCAAAGUCAGGCGUGAAAUUCCUGGGCUCAACCUGGGGGCUGCGUUUGAUACUUGAUUGCUAGAGUGGGGAAGAGGGUCGUGGAAUUCCCAGUGUAGAGGUGAAAUUCGUAGGUAUUGGGAAGAACACCGGUGGCGAAGGCGGCGACCUGGUCCUUGACUGACGCUGAGGCGCGAAAGCGUGGGGAGCAAACAGGAUUAGAUACCCCGGUAGUCCCUGUCUCUUAUACC